RNAcentral lists this ribosomal RNA (465 nucleotides) under Vreelandella stevensii. Its description in RNAcentral is "partial 16S ribosomal RNA". It matches the Rfam family "Bacterial small subunit ribosomal RNA", at positions 338 to 795 of the family's 1533-position model. Lineage: Bacteria; Pseudomonadati; Pseudomonadota; Gammaproteobacteria; Oceanospirillales; Halomonadaceae. The record is from RNAcentral.
CCUACGGGAGGCUGCAGUGGGGAAUAUUGGGCAAUGGGCGAAAGCCUGAUCCAGCCAUGCCGCGUGUGUGAAGAAGGCCUUCGGGUUGUAAAGCACUUUCAGUGGGGAAGAAAGCCUUGGGGCUAAUACCCUCGAGGAAGGACAUCACCCACAGAAGAAGCACCGGCUAACUCCGUGCCAGCAGCCGCGGUAAUACGGAGGGUGCGAGCGUUAAUCGGAAUUACUGGGCGUAAAGCGCGCGUAGGCGGUCUGAUAAGCCGGUUGUGAAAGCCCCGGGCUCAACCUGGGAACGGCAUCCGGAACUGUCAGGCUAGAGUGCAGGAGAGGAAGGUAGAAUUCCCGGUGUAGCGGUGAAAUGCGUAGAGAUCGGGAGGAAUACCAGUGGCGAAGGCGGCCUUCUGGACUGACACUGACGCUGAGGUGCGAAAGCGUGGGUAGCAAACAGGAUUAGAUACCCCGGUAGUC